Molecule: long non-coding RNA, 1210 nt
Organism: Bos taurus (domestic cattle)
Lineage: Eukaryota; Metazoa; Chordata; Mammalia; Artiodactyla; Bovidae
Source: Ensembl
ACGGCGGCUCGCCUCCCAGAAGGUUCCGCGGACAGCCGCAGACCCCCACGCGCGCCCUCCGCGCCGGCUUUCCCGCGUGCAAACGGGAGUGGGGGGCGCCAAGGGGCCCAGGUGAUGCUUCCAGGACAGCGGGUGAGGUUCCAGCGCAGGGAAGAAGUUGACAAAGGGGACUUGACUAAACACGAAUGCAUAUUUAUAGACGCGAGCUCCAUCAAGAUCUAGAGAUAGUCUCCUUCUCCCUGCCUCCUUCCCCUCCUGCCAUUUCAUUUUAUCGCUCCUUGAAGUGGAGGGCAGAUUGUUUUCUUUAAAAAAAAAAAUAAAUAAUAACAUUCCUGCCCGGUGUGGGUCAUCGCCGCGUUAUUUACAAUCUAGUUACUCGGCAGCAGACGGGGAAGCCAACUCCGGGCUCUUUCCCCUUCGGAUGGACAGAGAGGGCGACCGGGCGGCCCGCGGCAGGAAGGAGGCUUCUUAAUCAUCCACGGUGUAAAGACACACUUCAAGAGGAUCUUUAGAAGUGUUGGACAAGCUUCACCACGCGUGGCAGAGCCAUCCAACCUGUUCUUCCCAGUGUUAAAGAACUUGCCUGCCGAUGCAGGAGACAAAAGAGAUCUCAGAAGAUCCCCUGGAGGAGGGCGUGGCAAUCCGUUUCAGUGUUCUUGCCUGGGAAAUCCCAUGAACAGAGGAGCCUAGCAGUCCAUAGGGUUGCAAAGAGUUGGACAUGACUGAAAUGACUUACUACGCAUGCAGCCAGUUCUUAGGACUUUAAAAAAAUUUUUGGUUUUGGUCUAGCCCUUUUCUUUGGAAUUUCAUGCCUAUUCAAUGAAGGUGCCUUAAUUGAAUCUCCUAGUUUAACAUCUGAUCAUUUAAGCUCCACUAGGUGUGAUCACUGACCUAGAGCCAGACAUCCUGGAAUGUGAAGUCAAGUGGGCCUUAGAAAGCAUCACUAUGAACAAAGCUAGUAGAGGUGAUGGAAUUCCAGUUGAGCUAUUCCAAAUCCUGAAAGAUGAUGCUGUGAAAGUGCUGCACUCAAUAUGCCAGCAAAUUUGGAAAACUCAGCAGUGGCCACGGGACUGGAAAAGGUCAGUUUUCAUUCCAAUCCCAAAGAAAGGCAAUGCCAAAGAAUGCUCAAACUACACACAAUUGCACUCAUCUCACACGCUAGUAAAGUAAUGCUCAAAAUUCUCCAAGCCAGGCUUCAGCAAUAUGUGAA